Molecule: small nuclear RNA, 151 nt
Organism: Camelus dromedarius (Arabian camel)
Lineage: Eukaryota; Metazoa; Chordata; Mammalia; Artiodactyla; Camelidae
Gene: U1
Rfam family: U1 spliceosomal RNA
About the family: U1 is a small nuclear RNA (snRNA) component of the spliceosome (involved in pre-mRNA splicing). Its 5' end forms complementary base pairs with the 5' splice junction, thus defining the 5' donor site of an intron.
Source: Ensembl
AAACUUACCUGUGUGAGGAAGUAUCUUGAUCAGGAAAGUGAUUCUCCCAAAGCAAAGUUCAGCUUUUUCACUCCGGAGGAAUGACCUCUGCUAUUUUUCCAAAUAUGAGAAACUUGACUUGAGGCUCUGUGGAAGAUACAUUUUCUGUCCU